This 1348-nucleotide ribosomal RNA is filed under the name metagenome. Its description in RNAcentral is "bacterial SSU rRNA". It matches the Rfam family "Archaeal small subunit ribosomal RNA". The record is from RNAcentral.
ACUGCUAUUUGGGUGAGGAUAAGCCAUGCGAGUUGGAUGGGAUACCUAAAGUUCCCAUAGCAAACUGCUUAGUAACACAUGAUCAACUUGCCCUAUGGAGAAAACUAACCUCGGGAAACUGAGGAUAAUGUUUCAUAGUUGAACAGGCUUGGAAAAGUUUUUCAAUGAAAGGAAUAAGAUAAAUGGUUCUUAUUUGCCAUAGGAUAGGAUCGUGGUCGAUUAUGGUAGUUGGUGAGAUAACGGCUCACCAAGCCGAUAAUCGAUAGGGGCCGUGAGAGCGGGAGCCCCAAGAUGGGUACUGAGACAGCGACCCAGGCCUUACGAGGCGCAGCAGGCGCGAGACCUCCGCAAUACACGAAAGUGUGACGGGGUUACCCAAAGUGUUCUCUUAAGAACUGUGGCAGGUGAGUAAUGUCCCCUGCUAGAAAGGAGAGGGCAAGGCUGGUGCCAGCCGCCGCGGUAAACCAGCUCUUCAAGUGGUCGGGAUAAUUAUUGGGCUUAAAGUGUCCGUAGCCGGUUUAGUAAGUUCCUGGUAAAAUCGGGUAGCUUAACUAUCUGCAUGCUAGGAAUACUGCUAUACUAGAGGGCGGGAGAGGUCUGAGGUACUACAGGGGUAGGGGUGGAAUCUUAUAAUCCUUGUAGGACCACCAGUGGCGAAGGCGUCAGACUGGAACGCGCCUGACGGUGAGGGACGAAAGCCAGGGGAGCGAACCGGAUUAGAUACCCGGGUAGUCCUGGCCGUAAACGAUGCAUACUAGGUGAUGGUACGGCCAUGAGCCGUAUCAGUGCCGUAGGGAAACCGUUAAGUGUGCCGCCUGGGAAGUACGGUCGCAAGGCUAAAACUUAAAGGAAUUGGCGGGGGAGCACCACAAGGGGUGAAGCCUGCGGUUCAAUUGGACGCAACGCCGGGAAACUUACCAGGGGAGACAGCAGAAUGAGGGUCAGGUUGACGACCUUACCUGAUGAGCUGAGAGGAGGUGCAUGGCCGUCGCCAGUUCGUGCUGUGAGGUAUCCUGUUAAGUCAGGCAACGAACGAGAUCCGCACCUUUAUUUGCCAACAAGAAGUUACGACUUCGUUGGGAACACUAAAGGGACCGCCGUCGAUAAGACGGAGGAAGGAGCGGGCAAGGCAGGUCAGUAUGCCCCGAAACCCCUGGGCUACACGCGGGCUGCAAUGGUAUGAACAAUGGGCUGUAACUCCGAAAGGAGAAACCAAUCCCGAAAUCAUAUCACAGUGGGGAUUGUUGGCUGUAACCCGCCGACAUGAACGUGGAAUCCCUAGUAAUCGUGUGUCAUCAUCGCACGGUGAAUACGUCUCUGCUCCUUGCACACACCGCCCGUCGCUCCG